AGGUAUUCAAAUUCCUAGAUUUUUUGGCUCUAUGGGAAAUCUACGGUAUCUUAACCUUUCUAGAACUCGAAUCGGAGGAAUGAUACCUCAUCAUCUUGGAAAUCUCUCCAAUCUGCAGUUUCUGGACCUUAGUUCGAAUUAUUUAUUAUACGUUGAUAAUUUUUGGUGGCUCUCUGGUCUUUCUUUCUUGGAACACCUUGAUUUGCGUUCUGUGAAUCUAAGCAAAGCCUUUGAUUGGCUGAUGGUGACAAACAACUCCCUUCUUUGGUAGAAUUGAGAUUGGCAAAUUGUCAACUCCAUCACUUCUCACAACUAGCCACCGCAAAUUUUUCGUCUCUCACAGUCCUUGACCUUUCCGAUAACCAAUUUGAUAAAUGGUUUAUUCCUAGCUGGGUUUUUGGUCUCAGUCAUUUACUCUUUCUUGACCUAGGUUUUAAUAAUUUUCAAGGUCCGAUUCCUGGGGGACUUCAAAACUUGACUUCCCUUAGACAUCUGGGUUUAGAUUCCAACCACUUCAACUCUUCAAUUCCCAACUGGUUGUAUAGAUUUAUCCAUCUUGAGUACCUUAGUCUUAGCAACAAUAGCUUGCAAGGUACAAUUGAUUCAGAGGCCCUUGGAAACUUAACUUCCAUCAGUUGGCUUGAUCUCUCCUUAAAUAUGGGUAUUGAAGGGAGAAUUCCAAGGUCCAUGGCAAGUCUUUGUAAUUUAAAGUCACUUAACCUUCGGGGUGUCCAUUUGAGCCAAGAAAUUUAUGAGAUUUUAGAUAUUUUCUCAGGAUGUGUUUCCAAUGGAUUAGAGAGUUUGGAUUUACGAAGUAAUUCAAUAUAUGGUCAUUUGACUGAUCAGCUUGGCCAAUUUAAAAAUAUUGUCACUCUUGAUUUUGCUAAUAAUUCUAUUGUUGGUCUUAUUCCAGAGUCAUUGGGUCAGCUCUCAACCUUGAGAGUACUACGAAUAAAUGAUAAUAAGUUAAACGGAACGCUUUCUGAAAUCCACUUUGCCAAUCUAACAAAACUGUCAUGGUUCAGGGUCGAUGGGAACAAAUUGACGUUAGGAGUGAAGCAUGAUUGGAUUCCUCCUUUCCAACUUGUUGCCUUAGGAUUGCGUAAUUGUUAUGUAGGAUCCCGUUUUCCUCUAUGGCUUUAUUCACAAAAGCAUUUACAGUUUCUAUAUUUAGUCAAUUCAAGUAUUUCAGAUAUUUUUCCAAUUAGAUUUUUGAAAUCUGCUUCCCAAUUAAAGUUUUUAGAUCUCGGCCAAAACCAAAUUCAUGGGCCAAUACCAAAUCUAACCGAGUUUACUGGACUGUUGAUUCUUUCCGUGUAUUCGAAUAAUAUGUCGGGUCCAUUACCCCUCAUAUCAUCCAAUCUAGUUUUCCUAGAUCUUUCUAAUAACUUAUUCUCUGGAUCAAUUUCUCCUUUCUUGUGUUAUAGAAUCAAUGAGACGAAGAGCUUAAAUGCUCUUCAGCUAAAUGAUAAUUAUUUAAAUGGAGAAUUACCUGAUUGUUGGAUGAGUUAUCAAAAUUUGAAGACACUCAAACUAAGCAACAACAAAUUUACUGGUAAUCUUCCAUACUCAAUGGGUAGUCUAACUUCUCUUGUUUGGUUGCAUCUUGGCGAAAACAGACUGUCUGGGGAUAUACUUGUUUCUCUUAAAAAUUGUACAGCAUUAGAGUCACUUGAUGUUGGUGAAAAUGAGUUUGUGGGCAAUAUUCCGACAUGGAUUGGAGAAAGAUUUUCAAGAAUGGUUGUACUCAUCCUUCGUUCCAAUAAGUUUCAUGGCCCUUUACCCACAGGAUUAUGUGAUCUAGCUUUUCUUCAAAUAUUAGACAUUGUGGACAACAAUCUCUCUGGAGCUAUACCAAAUUGCAUUAAUAAUCUCACAGGCAUGGUCACAGCAUGCUCUUUUACACGCAGUGUUCAGCAAUAUCUACCACUUCCUAUAGACGUGGGUGUGAUUCUUGUAGAGAAGGCUUCAGUUGUGAGCAAAGGGGAAAUGGUUGACUAUGAAGAUAUUCUUAAUUUGGUAAGGAUGAUAGAUUUUUCCAGGAAUAAUUUCUCAGGAAAGAUUCCUUUGGAAGUGUCAAAUCUUAAAGCACUACAGUCAUUGAAUUUUUCGUACAACUCUUUCACCGGAAGAAUUCCUGAAAGUAUUGGUGUCAUGAGAUCAUUGGAAUCCAUUGAUUUUUCUGCAAACCAACUUUCGGGUGAAAUUCCAGAGAGCUGUCAAGUUUGACGUUUUUGAAUCAUUUGAAUUUGUCCAACAACAACUUGACUGGGAAAAUUCCUUCAAGCACUCAACUGCAGAGCUUUGAUGUAUCUAGUUUCGCUGGCAAUGAUCUCUGUGGAGCUCCUCUUCCUAAGAAUUGUACUGAGAAUGUUUCAAUUUCUGAAGAUGAGAAUGGAGAUGAAGAUGAAGACGAAGUGGACCACUGGUUGUAUGUAAGCGCGGCACUUGGAUUUGUGGUGGGAUUUUGGUGUUUUAUGGGCCCUUUGCUUGUCAGAAGAAGAUGGAGGUACAAGUAUUAUCAUUCCCUGAAUCGUCUUGGGGACAGAUUUGUUGGUGCCAUAAGAAAAUGUUGCUAGGUUUUCUCUGUUUCUUAUAGUUGUUCUGCUUCCAAGUAUUAUUUGAAAUAAACGAGUGGCCUUUUAUUUGUUUUGUGCCUGAAAGUGAACACUCGUGUGAAAUAAUUUUAAACAAACAGGACGAUAUUACAAAUCCUAGGAGAUCAUUCCUACUCAAAAAAAUUAAUCCUGAUAAAUCAAAAGUGAAAAGAUUUUAUUGUAUGGACAGUUCACCACGUAUAAGCUCAUUGAUUUCUAGAUUAAAAAAGAUCAUAAAUCACAACAUUGGUAUCAAAAUGUUGAUUCGUAAUACGAUAUUUAAAACAAAAAUGGAAAGAGAAAAAGAUAUUCGUAAUAAAUCACAACAGUUUUUUUUUUCCCAGGUGCAUCUGCUUGUUGGAAUAAUCAUUCCAUUCUGCAGUCUCAGAUCCAAAAUUUACUCAAGGGGGGAUAUUAUAUUCUCGUAACAAACAAAGUCACAUUAACAAGCAACAUGAAACUUUGAUAGAGAAUUAGAAAAGUUUCUCACAUUAACAACCAACAGGAGGGUUCCCUACAAAUUUCAUUUUAUGGAAUAUUUUCAAUGCAACACUGAGAUUCACAACUAUUCGAGUAAACAACUGUUUGGAAUACUUCCCUCCAAAUUUCAUUUGAAUAUGACAAAAAUGGCAUGUGGGCACCACCCUUCUAGAAGGUGGGCCCGCCCAUUUUGAAGAUGAAAGCAUUACUUCCGUCUUUGAUUGGAAGAAAAGAAAAAAAUAGAGAAAGAACGAAAAAUGGGUGUCGGGCCGAAAAGGGCAAAGAAAAAAAUUAAUAAAAUAAUAAAAAUAAUAUAUAAUUGAUGAAUAGUACCAAAACUUUCUCUAUAAAUAAAAACGAAGAGAAUGAGCAAAUGCAUUCCAUCGAGAGAAAAACAUUUCCUUCCUUUAGAAAGUUGUGAGUAUUAAGAGUUUAAUAAACUCUUGAGUGAUUAGUGUUUUGAGAGUUUGGGUGUAUUGGGAUUUUGAGUAGUGAGCUAAAAUACCACAAUAUUUGUAACUCUUUUUGACUAGUAAAAUAUUUUCCUUCUAUCUUCGCCAAUGGACGUAGGCUAAAAACCAAACCACAUAAUUUCCUGGUAUCCUCUUUGUGCUUAUUCUUUAUUUUUUUUCAAUUUUAUUUUAGCUGCGUGUCUGCUUCAACCAUCAAUUUCCUAACAGAAUAUACAUUUUUUUUUUGGAAAUAUUUCUUGCGAAGUCUCAUAGCUCCAGUACUGCAAGCUUCUUUGGCAUCCAAAUUUCUAGUCAUGUCAUUCAAUAUCUGAAAAAGGUACAAAAGAAACAAAAGGAAAGAGAAGAGAGAAUUAAUUAAUUGCGGGAAAAGAAAUUCCUAGAAAUCAAUUUAAAAAUAUGCUAGGGUUACGGGAUCCACUCUCAGUAUUCAAACUAUAGUUUUAAUACUCUUUUUUUAAUAUAUUUUUCCUUACUUUUACUGGUUAAUUAUUAUGUCAUUUAAUUCUUAACUAACUAUAUCUAUGGAUAAAUAUGGAAUCAAAAACCUAAUGUGCCACAACUAUAUUAAUGUGUCGACUUAAAUACUAGCUAUGCAACCCAAGAGGGGGUGAAUUGAGUUUAUAAAAAUUAUGUAAUACUUAAACAAAUCUUAAACAAAUUCAAAACAAUAAUAAAUAAAUCAAUCAAAAUGUAAAGAGAUAAGGGAAGUGAGAUUCAAACACAAAAAUUUUUAUAUGGUUCGGCCAACCCUGCCUACGCCCGUGCCUCUAAGUUCACCGGGCUUGAGGAUUCUACUGUCCAAGCCUCCAAGGCUUUAAGAACUUUUAUAAUUGACUUCACAGGUGUCAAUCAACCUUUACAACAAUAGAUUAUCUUAAAUCUCUUAACCCAAGUGUUUUCUACAUUCACAUUUUCUCAAAUACAAGAUUUUUCCCGCACACAAUCGAUGUGUUUACAAAUAUAUGCCCAAGGUGUGAUUUAAAGAAUAAAUGAAUAAAUUAAAGCUCAAGUAAUAUUGUAUUCUCAAUAAUAUGCUCUCUGGUAUUCGUUGGAUUCUCUUUGAUUUGGAUCUAAUGCAACCUUUUUAUAUUUGGAGCUGAAAACUAGUCGUUAUCUACUUUCUGCACAAAGUCGGAUCGCCGUUAAGCAUUAUCGAAUUGCCGUUUUGACUUGAGCGAGUGAUUGUUGUGCCAAAAUUCAAAUUGUCGGAUCAUCAUUUUCUAGAUGUCGAAUCGCUGUUAGUUUCUAGUAACUAAACUUCAAUUUUGUUCAAUGUCAGUUAGUCGUUUCCUCGUAAACGGUUAGCCGUUUGCUACAGUGAUUGCUACAGUGAAACAAUUUACUAAAAUUAUAUUUUUUCCCUAAAACUUUUUAAAUUAUACUAUAGCCCAAAACUUUAUAAAACUUUGCACAAAAGUCCAUUUCUAGAAUUUUAAACAAUAUUUGUUGAUUUCAAACUUUUCAAAACUUUUUUAAUUAGACCAUAAACUUGAAAAAUAACCAAUAUUAUAAAAUUAUUUGUUGGCUCCAUGGGAAAUCUACGGUAUCUCAAUUUUUUUGAAACUCGAAUCUGCGGAAUUAUACCUCAACAACUUGGAAAUCUCUCCAAUCUGCAGUUUCUUGACCUUAGUUCAAAUUAUUUAUUAUACGUUGAUAAUUUUUUGUGGCUCUCUGGUAUUUCUCUCCUGGAACACCUCGAUUUGCGUUAUGUGAAUCUUAGCAAAGCCUUUGAUUGGCUGAUGGUAGAAAACAAACUCCUUUCUUUGGUAGAAUUAAGAUUGUCAAAUUGCCAACUCCAACACUUCUCUCCAUUAGCUACCGCAAAUUUUUCGUUGCUCACAGUGUUUGACCUUUCCCACAACCAAUUUGAUAACUCGUUCAUUCCUAGUUGGGUUUUUGCUUUAAGUCAUUUGCCCUUUCUUGACCUAGGUUUUAAUAAUUUUCAAGGUCCAAUUCCUGGGGGACUUCAAAACCUGACUUCCCCUAAACAUUUGGGUUUAGAUUCCAACCACUUCAACUCUUCAAUUCCCAACUAGUUGUAUAAAUUCAUCCAUCUUGAGUACCUUAGUCUUCGCAACAAUAAAUUGCAAGGUACAAUUGACUUAGAGGCUCUUGGAAACUUGACUUCCAUCAAUCAGCUCGAUCUCUCAUUAAAUACUGGUCUUGCAGGGAGAAUUCCAAGAUCCAUGGCAAGUCUUUGUAAUUUAAAGUCAAUCAAUCUUCAGGGUGUCAAUUGUGAGCCAAUAAAUUUUUGAGAUUUUAGAUAUUUUCUCGGGAUGUGUUUCUAAUGGACUAGAGAGUUUAGAUAUGCAGAGUAGUUCAAUAUAUGGUCAUUUGACUGAUUAGCUUGGCCAAUUUAGAAAUCUCGUCACUCUUAAUCUUGUUAAUAAUUCAAUUGUUGGUUCUAUUCCAUGGUCAUUUGGUUAACUCUCAACCUUGAGAGAACUACAUAUAUAUGAUAAUAAGUUAAACGGAACACUUUUUGAACUUCACUUUGCCAAUCUGAUAGAAAUGUCAUGGUUUAGAGUAGGUGGAAACCAAUUGACGUGGGAAGUGAAGCAUGAUUGGAUUCUUCAUUUCCAACUUGUUGCAUUAGGAUUGCAUAGUUGUUAUAUAGGGUCUCGAUUUCCUCUAUGGCUUAAUUCACAAAAGCAUUUACAGUUUCUAGAUUUAGUCAACUCAAGAAUUUCAUAUAUUUUUCCCAUUAGAUUUUUGAAAUCCGCUUCCCAAUUAAAGAUUUUAGAUCUCGAAAAAAAGCAAAUUCACGGGGAGAUGCCAAAUCUAACCGAGUUUACUCAACUUUUGUUUCGUUCCCUGGAUUCGAAUAAUAUGUCGGGUCCUUUACCCCUCAUAUCAUCCAAUCUCGUUUACCUUGGCCUUUCAGAUAACUCAUUCCCCGGAACAAUUUCUCAUUUCUUAUGUAACAAAAUCAACGAGACAAAGAGAUUAGAAGCUCUUAAGCUAAAUGAUAAUUAUUUACAAGGAGAGUUACCUGAUUGUUGGAUGAGUUAUCAAAAUUUGAAGAUACUUAAACUAAGUAACAACAAAUUCACUGGUAAUCUUCCAAACUCAUUUGGUAGUUUAGCUUCUCUUGCUUGGUUGGAGCUUGGUAAAAACAGACUAUUUGGGACAAUACCUGCUUCUCUUAAAAAUUGUACAGCAUUAAAGUCACUUGAUGUUGGUGAAAACGGGUUUGUUGGCAGUACUCCAGCAUGGUUUAGAGAAAGAUUUUCAAGAAUGGUUGUUCUCAACCUUCGUUCCAAUAAGUUUCAUGGCCCUUUACCCACAAGAUUAUGUGAUCUAGCUAUUCUUCAAAUCUUAGACAUCGCGGACAAUAAUCUCUUUGGCGCCAUACCAAAUUACAUUAAUAAUCUCACUGGCAUGGUGACAACGAACUCUUUUUCACGCAGUGCUCAGCAACAUCUACCUGUUCCUCUAGACGUGGAUGUGAUUCUUACGGAGAAGGCAUCAGUUGUGAGCAGAGGGGAUGUGGUUGAAUAUAAUGAGAUUCUUAAUUUGGUAACGGUGACAACUGUUUCCAGGAAUGAUUUACCGAAAAAUGUUCCUUUGGAAGUGAGAAAUCUUAAAGCAACGCAAUCAUUAAAUUUUUCGCACAACACUUUCACAUGAAGAAUUCCUGAAAGUAUUGGUGUUAUGAGAUCAUUGGAGUCUGUUGAUUUUUCUGUAAACCAAAUUUCGGGUAAAAUUCCACGGAGCAUGUCAAAUUUGAUGUCCUUGAAUUAUUUGAACUUGUCCAACAACAAGUUGACUGGGAAAAUUCCUUCAAGCACUCAACUCUAGAGCUUCGAUGCAUCUAGUUUCGCUGGCAAUGAUUGUUGAAGUCAAACAAAUUGUUGGUUGCAACCAACAAUUGUAAGGUAGCAAAAUCAAAUUGAAUUUGAUUUUGCAGCCAAAAAGAAAGAAUGGACAAAGGGGAUGAAGCAAAAAUGUUUGAAUGGAGAAAGGGGAUGAAGCAAAAAUGUUUGAAUGGAGAAAGGGGAUGAAGCCAAAAUGUUUGAAAAAUAAUAAUAAUUAAAUAUUAUAUUUUCAAUUAUUUUAUUCUUUGCAUAGUAACUUAUUUCUCUUAUAAAUAGCUAGGGAUUUCAUUCAUCCCAAAAAUUUGUUAUGCUUAUAAGUUUCUAAGCUUUUGAGAGUUCUGAGAGUGUGAACAAUUGGAGAGUGUGUGUGAGAGUACUGGGUGUAUUUGGGUUCUGGGAAAGUGAGAUUUCUUUAUUCAAAUAUUUGUACUCUAUUAAUUGUUAAUAAUACAAUUAAUUUUCUCUUGCUCCCGCGGACGUAGGCAUAUUGCCGAACCACGUAAAUUUUGUGUCUUUUAUUUUUCUAUAAUUAUUUGGUGCGCUUGAUUCCGCAUUCCGCACAUAACAAGUGGUAUCAGAGCCGACAAUUUGUACUUGGAGGGAUAUGUUACUGUUCACGUUUACGAUACUAUUUCUAUAUACGGUAUUGUUUCACAUAUGGUAUUGUUCACGAAUACGAUGGAGACGACCAUUUGUACUUGGGAGACAUUAUAUUGUAAGUAGUGUGUAUUUUUAUAUGUCUAGGAAAGUUCUGUCAAUAAGGCGAUAAGAGUAUAAGGAUUCUGGUUUUUAACUGGGACCAAGUUCCCGUCAAGUCUCCUGAAAAAUUUCCUGGUGCAUUUAUUCACGCGAAAUUAACAUCAUAGAGGCUGUUUUUCAAGUGGAAAUAGUUCGUUGAGAAAAUGUAGAAGGUGAAACUUCCAAAAUUUGGGAGAGAUCUACCGAGACUAUUUCAGAAGACACUUUAGGUGGGAUGCGAGAUUUGUCAAAUCGUUAUUCAACACCUAUUAUAUAAGGCCAGAAGAUUAAUGUUGAAAAGUUUGAUAGGAAAAUCAACUUCGACAUGUGGAGGCGCGAAGUUAUGGAUGCCCUUAUUUAAAUCGAUCUCGAUGUGGUUCUGAAAAAUAAAAGACACUUGUAUGAUGAAGAAAUUUGGGAUCGUGUGAACGAGAAAGCUUGUGGUCAGAUCAGAUCUUGUUUGAUCAAGGAGGUGAAAUACUUGGUGAAAGAUGAUGAGUGUGCGAUGACUUUAUAAUGUACAUUGGAGGAGAAGUACUUGCUGAAAAGUCCUGAAAAUCGUCUUCAUGCAAUGAGGUAAGUAUAUGGCUUUCGAAUGAAGUCUGGGGUGUUAAUGCAUUAUAAUGUCUCAAGAUUUGAAAAGUUACUUGCUGAUUUGAAGAAUCUUGAUGAAAAUAUUAAGGAUGAAGUCAAGGCUAUAAUUCUGUUACACUCACUACUAGAGGAAUAUAGCCAUUUUGUGACUACCUUGAUAUAUGGGAAGAGUGUGAUUGUCUUCAAAGAUGUUUGCACAUCAUUGACUAACUUGGAGAUUCGAAAUAAUGAUAAAAAUUCUGAACGAGCAUCGUUUGAAGCUUUGGUGAGCAAAGAUUAGGCGAUGGAGAAAAAGAAGAAGCGUGGUGGAAAGAAUUCUCGAUCCAAAUCGAGAAGCAGAAAUAUAACUCGAGACGAGUGUGCCUCUUUCAUGAAAAGAGCCAUUAGAGAAAAGAUUGUCCAAGAGCUCAAAAGAGAGAUGUGAAGAAACCAGUAGUAGCAAACAUGGCACAGAAAGAUGAAGACUCUGAUUAUUCACUAAGUAUUACUUCUGCAGCAUACGUGUCUAGUUCGAGCAAGUGGAUACUUGAUACUAGAGCAACCUAUCAUUUGUGUCCUAUUAAAGAAUGGUUUACGGAUUUUCGUAAUCUGGAAUCUGGUGCAGUUGUGAUGGGGAAUAAUCAAUCUUGUCGUACAAUGGGGAUAGGAACAAUUCAGCUCAAAAUGUUUGAUGGAAUGAUAAGAGAACUCAAAGAGGUUAGAUUUGUUCCAGCUUUAAAGAAAAAUCUAAUUUCUAUGGGUGCUUUGGAAGCUAAAGGCUACAAGGUUACCAUUGAAGAUGACAUAAUGAAGUUUACACAUGGGGCUAUGGUGAUUCUACAAGGGGUUCGGCGUCACAAUUUGUACUAUUUGAAGGGAGGUACAACUGAUGAAGCAAAUGUUACUGAGGCGCACAGUGACACCACCAAGCUACGACAUGUACGACUGGGACAUACUGGAGAGAAGUAUUUGCAAACUCUGAUGAGGCAUUGACUCUUAAAAGGUACCAAAACCUAUAAAUUAAAUUUCUGUGAGCAUUGUGUAGUAGGCAAGAAAACAAGGGUCAAGUUUGGUAUGGCUAAUCACGAUACUCGUGAGAUCCUUGAAUAUGUUCACAGUGAUGUAUGGGGACCAACCAAGACUACAUCAAUUGGUGGAAUCCAUUAUUUUGUUACAUUUGUUGAUGAUUUCUCUAGACGUGUGUGAGUGUACACCAUGCGAGCAAAUGAUGAUGUUCUAGAGAUUUUUGUGAAAUGGAAGAAAUUGGUGGAGACUCAAACUGGUAGAAAGAUCAAAGUAUUACGAUAUGAUAAUGGGGGUGAAUAUACUUCUGAUCCAUUCUUGCAAAUAUGCCAGAACGAGGGUAUUAAAAGACAUUUCACGGUGAGACAUACUCCGCAACAAAACGGUGUGGCUGAGCAUAUGAAUCGUACUUUGCUAGAGAAAGUAUAGUGUAUGUUAUCUAAUGCUGGUUUAAAUAACAAGUUUUGGGCUGAUGCUGUGAGCUACGCAAGUCACUUGGUAAACCGGUUGCCUUCUACUGCAAUUGGAGAUAAAACUCCUAUGGAAAUGUGGUCUAGAAAGCAUGCACAAGAUUAUGAUGCCCUUCGUAUAUUCGAGUGUCCAGGUUAUUAUCAUGUCAAAGAUGGUAAACUAGAUGCUCGUGCUAGAAAAGCUAUCUUUGUGGAAUUCAAAGGUAGUGUAAAAUGACUUAAGCUUUGGGAUCUCGAAGAUAAAAAGUUUGUGUGUAGCAGAGAUAUCAUGUUUGAUGACGCUUCAAUGAUGAAAGCUUCAAGUUCUCAACAGGUGGAGAACAAGACCACAGAGGUAUUACAGCGGGUGGAGUUUGAUGAAACUCCAUAUGUACCAGUUAGUUCUACAUCAGAAAAUGAUUCAACUAUGGAGGUGACACUUAGAGUCUGAUGUCCCACAAAAUGAAGAAACAAUUGAUGAUAUGGAUAAUGAUGAUUCUAUAGCAACAAGGAGGCCAAGAAGAGAGAUAAAGAAAUCCGGAUGGCUUACUAAAGACAUGGUGGUAGCCUAUGCACUUCCAGUUAUUGAUGAUGACAUCCCCAACACUUUCAGUAAAGCAUUACGCAGCAGUGAAAGUGAUAAAUGGAAGUUAGCCAUCGAAGAAGAGAUGAAAUCUCUCCAUCAAAACCAGACUUGGGAACUUGUGGAGUUACCAAAGGGGAAAAGGGCUAUUGGCAAUAAAUGAGUCUACACCAAAAAGCAAGGAUCUCCAAAUCAAUCAACUUCUCGAUACAAGGCAAGGCUCGUUGCAAAAGGUUUUGCUAAGAAGGAAGCUAUUGGCUACAAUGAAGUUUUCUCUCCAGUUGUAAAACAUAAUUCCAUUCGUAUCCUACUUGCCUUAGUUGCAGAAUAUGAGUUAGAGUUGGCUCAAUUAGAUGUUAAGAUGGCAUUCUUACAUGGAGAUUUGGAGGAGGAAAUCUAUAUAACUCAGUCUUGUGGUUUUAAAGUUGAUGUAAUAGAGAAUCGUGUGUGCAGAUUGAUUAAAUCUUUAUACAAAUUGAAACUAAUUCUUUGAAUGCAUUGAGUUUGGAGAAUUAUGAACUACGAUUGGCUUGAUCCCAUAUUUUGGGUACGUAGGUAGUCGAAGUGACACAACCAUUUUGGAUCCUUAUUGAAGGAUCACCGUAGGGAUGAUGAUCCGUCGAUAGUCAGCUCAGAUUUGGCAAAUUUUCGCCGAGGUGGAGAUUUUUUGAAGUCAAACAAAUUGUUAGUUACAACCAACAAUUGUAAGGAAGCAAAAUCAAAUUGAAUUUGAUUUGCAGCCGAAAAGAAAGAAUGGACAAAGGGGAUGAAGCCAAAAUGUUUGAAUUAUAUUUUCAAUUAUUUUAUUCUUUGCAUAGUAACUUAUUUCUCCUAUAAAUAGCUAAGGAUUUCAUUCAUUUCAUUCAUCUCAAAAAUUUGUUAUGCUUAUAAGUUUCUAAACUUUUGAGAGUUCUGAGAGUGAGCAAUUGGAGAGUAUAUGUGAGAGUACUGGGUGUAUUUGGGUUCUAGGAAAGUGAGAUUUCUUUAUUCAAAUAUUUGUACUCUUUUAAUUGUUAAUAAUAUAAUUAUUUUUCUCUUGCUCCCGUGGACGUAGGCAUAUUGCCAAACCACGUAAAUUUUGUGUCCUUUAUUUUUCUAUAAUUAUUUGGUGCGCUUGAUUCCGUAUUCCGCGCACAACAAUGAUCUCUGUGGAGCUCCUCUUCCAAAAAAUUGUACUGAAAAUGUUUCAAAUUCAGAAGAUGAAAAUGGAGAUGAAGACGAAGAUGAAUUGGACCAUUGGUUUUAUGUAAGCAUUGCACUUGGCUUUGUGGCGGGAAUUUGGUGUUUUAUAGGCCCUUUGAUUUUCAAUAGAAGAUGGAGGUACAAAUAUUGUCAUUUCCUAAAUCGUCUUGAGGAGAGAGUUGUUGAUGUUGUAAGAAAACGUGGCUAGAUUUUCUCUGUUUUUGAGUUGUUCUGCUUUUUCAUGUACUGUGCUCACUGAAAGGAAUAGAAUAUUACUUAAAAUAAACGAAUGGCCUUUUAUUUGUUUUGUUCCUGAAAGCAAAAAUUAAUGCGAAAUAAUUUUUAAAUAAGGCGAAUGAUAUUCAUAUUAAAAAUCAUACGAGACUUUCCAACUCAACAAAAUUAGUACUGAUAAAUCAAAAUUGAAAAAGUAUAUUUUAUGGACACUUCACCAUCUAUAGGAUCAACAAUUUUUAUAUUAAAAAAGAUUAUAAAUCACAACAUUGGUAUCAAAAUGUUAAGAUCUUGAAAAAGUAAAUGGAAAAGAUUCUUAGAUUAACAAGCAACACUGCAACAGGGGAGGGGGCUCAACUAUUCUCUAUUAUGCAAUUUUGACCAGUAGUACUUCUCUCUUCUUUUACAUUUUAGGGUUAUUAUCAUUUUACUACUUCAGGAAUUGCCAAAUAUCAAAUGACUACAACAAUCGUUGUCUCCUAUUAUUUUACUACUAUAUCUUUAUAAAAAUAUCAUUUUACUACUUUUCCGUUAUAACUGUUAGUUGACCAGUUAGUUGACUAUCAAAAUACCAAUUUCACCCUUCAUGAUUAAAAAAAAAUAUUUGAAGCUUAUUUACAAAAUAAAUUUGUAAUAUAUUUAUUAAAAUAGAUAUAAAAUACCAACAUAUUUUUUUUGCUAGAAUUAUUAUAUAUGAAUUACAAAAUUUAUCUUAUUAUUAUUUUUAAUCAUGAAGGGUAAAAUUAGUAUUUUGUUAGUCAACUACCGGUCAACUAACAGUUAUAACGGAAAAGUAGUAAAAUGAUAUUUUUAUAAAGAUAUAGUAGUAAAAUGAUAGGAGACAAUAACUGUUGUAGUCAUUUGAUAUUUGGCAAUUUCUGAAGUAGUAAAAUGAUAAUAACCCUACAUUUUAUAUAUGGAAUAUUUUCAAUGCAACAUUGAGAUUCACAACUAUCCAUGUAAAUACUAAUUACAGCAAAACUCUCCUCCUUUAAAUUUGAAAAAAGAAAACUUAGGUGGCGUUUGUUUUUUUGUCUAAAAUCUGAAUAGACCUGAAUUAGUCUGAAUUCUGAAUAGAUCUGAAUGUCUGAAUCUAAAUAACAUGUUUUUUUUUUUCGUCUGAAUCUCGAAAAAUAAGUAUUAAGUUGUUUGUUUUUUUCAACUGAAAAAGCUGAAAAUAUGUACUUUUACUUUUGUAUCCUUAUUAAAUUUGAAAGUCAAAUAAAUAAUAUAUUAAAUACCACAAUAUUUUAACAUUUAUAAGUAAAACUAUAUUCAAGUGAAUACAUAAUUAUUUUGGAAUUUAUAUAUAUAAAAUACCAUAAAUUUUAAAUUUUAUCGUAUAUAAUAUAAGAAAGAAAAAAUAAUGAUAUUUUUAUAUGGGAAAAAUGUCUAUGGGUGAGUUUUGGGAUAGACAUGAAAAAUAAAUUAUAAAACAUGGAUAUUUUUGACAUUAGUAAGUAAUUGACUUAAUUCAAAUUUCUCCAUUAAGUAAAAAGCUAAAAAAAUUGGCUUAUUUUAUUAAGUCAAAAUUAUCUAAAAAGUCUCAUUAAGUUAUAAAAACAAACACCUCUAAUUAACUUAAUUAAUUAAGUUAAGUCACUUUAAGUCAUUAAGUUAAAAAACAAACGCCACCUUAGUCUUGGUUUAUUUCAUUAAAUAGAGUUAGUUAACGAUGUGUCACGAGAUAUAUAGAUAUUAGUCCAUAUAAUAUAAUAAUCGAUUGAGUUAAAGUCGUCAAAUCUGAAUAUUGUUAUCUUCUGACUUAAAAAGUCGUUUGCGUGGAAAGGACGUAAAUCCUAAUCCAAUUAACAGUAGGAUGAUGUUGAGUUGGAGUAUGCGAACGAACUAUAAGGUCACAAUUUAAGAUAAUUAUUUUGAAAGAGAGAAAUGGCCCUAUAAAUAGCAAUGUUGUUGAUAACACAAAUUCAAAUAAACAUUUACUCUUUAUUAAACCAAACAUGAGUGGUGUCCUUGUUUUUGCCUCACUUCUUGAAUUACUUGUCGUUAGCAUGAGUGGACAAAUUGAUGCGUGAUUUUAACGUAAAUAUAUACAAGGAUCACCGAUGAUUGACUUAAGUGAUUGUAAAUGGCAUCUGUGUGACUGUGUCCUUUACAUGUCCUCUUCAAUUGACUUAAAGUCGCUUCGCUAAGUAGGAGGUUACUUUGUGUCAUGUGCAAAUUGGAUUAUGCAGAAAACUGAGUUUCUAGUUACUUUUUCCAAUAAAAAGCCCCAAACGGAUGCUGAAUUGCUGAAAGAUAAGUUGAGAUUGUUCAUUAGAUCAAGGACAUUUUCCUUGUUAACAAAAUUAAUAAACGAACAUAUAAAAAUGAAGUAAUUAUCCAUAAGUACUGCUACAACAAAUAACUCUAAUGCAUAGACUAUAGAUUCCAUUUUGUCGGUGGCGGACUAAGGUUAAAAAUAAAGAAAUUCAUAAGGGUAUUAAUUGAAAUUUAAUCUAUUUCUUAAAAUAUUACAUCAUCAUUAUCCAUUAUUUACAAAAUUUUGAUUAUUGCCUCCAUAAGUUCGUAGUUCUUUUUUGGGCAUGUUUCAACCAAAAUACCGGUUUUGAAUUUAGAAUGCGAAACUCUCCGCAAAAUUUUUACUUUGAGACGUCAUAACACAGUUUUCUCAAAGUAAUUGACAUUUAAUUACGAACAAAAUAUCACCAUCGAUAUCGAUCCCAAUUAAAUUCUUCAAGUUCCUUCCAGUCUUGGUUAUUUUUAUUAAAUGGAGUUAGUAAGAUAGUCAUGAGAUAUUUCAUUAUCUACAACGAUCAUCGACUUGUGACAUUACCAAAUUAAAUAGUAUCUAUAUAUCGUCCUAUAUAAUGAAUAGACUUGAAGUCGUUUCCUCAUAAAGGGGGUUAGAACUGGAUUAUGCGGAAGAUUUAAUUAUAUGGCCUAUCGCUACUUUUUCCAAAUUAGAUUCCUGGCCCACUUUACUGAUUAUAUCAAAUGGAUGCUGAGUUUCUGAAACAUAAUCCAAGAGAGUAUCGGUCUUGUUAAUUGCAAUUCAUUAUAAAUAGCAAAGGUGUUGAUAACAUUAUCCUCAUCCACAUUUCCUUGACUAGCUAGCAAUGAAACCAAACAUGAGUGGUGUCCUUGCUUUUGCCUUAUUUCUGUUUGAAAUACUUGCCAUAGCAACCAUUAGCAUUAGCUUCUGCAGCGGAAGUUCUUAUCAUGGGGGUUGCCUUGAAAGUAAGAGAGGAGCACUUUUAAGGUUCAAGCGAGAUCUUAAAGACCCUUCCAAGACGAAAACAUUUUGGGCCAACUUAAUCCUCCAAUUGAUUAGAGAGACAACCAAUCUCAACAUGAUUAAAAUCAACCAAGAACUUUAAAAGAUUACAUGAAUCCAACAAGAACUGGAGCACCAUCGUGUAUAGUAUUUCCUCUAAAAGCAUCUCAAUUCAACUUCAAACCAGGUAUUAUCUAACUUUUACCGACAUUUUAUGAUUUAAAAUCUGAGAAUCCGUACGUGCAUCUAAGAGAUUUUGAGGAAGUUUGUAAUACAUACAUGGACCAAAAUUGUAGCAUGAACAUAAUUAGAUUAUAAUUUUUUCCUUUUUCAUUAAAAGAUAAAGCUAAAACUUGACUAUAAAACCUUAGAUCAUGUUAAAUUAGAAAAAAUAUCAUUACAUGGUUACUUCUGGAAUUGUUUUGGGUCAUGUUGUAUCUAUUAAAGAAUUGAAGUUGACAAAGCAAAAGUUAAAGUCAUAUCUAAAUUGCCAUAACAAAAAAUAGUUAUAGAUGUGCGAUCUUUUUCAGAACAUACAUGAUUUUUUAGAAGGUUUAUAGAAAACUUUAGUGUCAAAUUGAUAACUCUAGGAAAUGAGAGUUAUUACAUCAAUUCUAGACUUGAAUCAAGACUACUUGAGAACAAAUAAGGUGUUUUUAUUAUAUUUUGGUUACCUUUUGCAUAAACUUUCAUUUUAGUUGAGUCUUAAUAAGUUUUGCUUGAAUCAAAGUAAUUUGUACUAAAAACAGGUGUAUAAUUGUAGGUUUUAAAGUCAUGAGGGGAUGUUGAGGCAUUAGAAGAGCGAGAGGAGGAAAGAAGAUGGCCACAAAAGAAGUAAAGCACAAUCGGAAAUAAGGCAGUGUUGUAGCUGAUGUUAGAGCAACCAGUGCUGUAGCAAUCUGGGAGCAAUGCGAGAGAAAACUUAGGCACGAGUUAGCCAUAAAAACGCGAUCUGCAUGUUUCCUAAUUUAAACGCAUGCACGCUCAUGGGCUUUGGUUUACCCUAAUUUGCAAUAUAAAAAAGGAGGCGUGCACCAUAUAAAAGGCGGCGAAGGGAUAAUCAUCAGAAUAAUUACAAAGGAAAGAAGAAGAAGAUCAGAUUGAGAGAGUGUUGUUUCAGUAACAUUGAAGACUCGUGCAGAAUUAUUUGUCUUUCAUCGUGCUCAACUUAUAUUUCUCGUCUUCAUUUAAUUGUUUUGAUGUAUUCAUUGAUCAAUAUAUUUAUGUUUACUUUUCUCAUUCAGAGUAUGAACUAAAUUUACUUGUAGUUGAGUGACAAAGAAUCCAAUGGGUUCUUGACUGUUCUUAUAUGUUGUUAUGGCAUUGUUGUAGCAUUAUACUCUAGUAGUUUUUAUGAAUAUAACUGUUAUUUCGGUUGACCACCCAUUUAAUAGUUUCAGUUAAGAUAGAGCAGCAAAAGAGCAUGUCUUAGCGGAUGUUAUUAGAGUAUUACUUGAUCUUAAGUCGAGUUUCCUGGAUUAAGUUAUCUUAAAUCCCAUAAGGGCAAUACUUGAAGUUAAGAUUUGUGACACACUAGACAUAGAUGUUCACCUUGUAGGGUGGAAAGACUAAAGACCAUAAUGACAUACUAUAAGUAGAUUAGCAACUGGUCAUUGUUAAUAGAUUUAAGGGUAUGAGACUUCCAAUAUGCGGCAGCUGAGGAUGCAGAUAAACUCUGUCCAGUGCUGCAGCACUGGUCGUAACAACUGGUACUAAUUUGAUGAAAAAACAGUCAACCCCAAAGGAAAAUUUGAUCAUUCAACUACAUUAAUUUCAAUUGAAUCUUGGACACACUUAACCUAGUUAUUUCAUUACGAUAUUGUUUUAUUUAAUUCUUAUCUCAAUCAUUGAUUACAAUAGACAUUACUUGACAAUUGUUUGCUUCGGGUUUAAGUUGAGUUGCGCUAUUGUGAGUGCUGUAGCAUUUCGAGUAACAUUAAUCCAUGUGGAGACGAUCAUGAAUACUUAUCACUUUAUUACUUGUUGUGCAUACUUGCACAUUGGCAUUGAUAGUAAUUGCUUAUAAAAUUUACCAACACAUAUCUAAACCACUUUGUAACCUCUUAUUAAAAGAUGCACCAUUUGAAUGAACUGAUGAUUGCCAAAAAUCUUUUGAGAAAAUAAUUUGUCUUUUAACAUCAGCACCCAUUAUGCAAUCUUCUGAUUGGUCUCUUCCUUUUGAAUUCAUGUGUGAUGCAAGUGAUUUUGUUGUUGGUGUUGUUUUUGGACAAAGAAUGGAUGGUAAGUCGUUUGUGAUUUAUUAUGUGAGUAAGACCUUGGAUGGUACCCGAAUGAAUUAUUUGACAACUAAAAAAGAAUUACUUGCAGUGGUGUUUGUAUUAAACAAAUUUCGUUCAUAUUUGCUUGGUUCUAAAACUAUUGUUUUUACUGACCAUGCUGCUGUGAGAUAUUUGAUGACUAAACAGGAUGUCACAACCAAGACUAAUUCGAUCGAUUUUGUUACUUCAAGAAUUUGACCUUACCAUCAUUGAUAAAAAAGGUGCCGAAAAUGUCGUUGCUAAUCAUUUAUCAAAACUCACAUUCGAAUUCUGCACUGACGUAACACCCAUCAAUGACUCCUUCCUAGAAGAAUUUUUAUUUUCUGUUACUUUAAUGCUAUGAUAUGCUAACAUUAUUAAUUUCUUUGUUACAGGUAAAAUGCCUUUGCAAUAGAAUACUCAAGAGAAGAAGAAAUUUUUAGUUGAAGUAAAGAAAUUUUAUUAGGAUGAUAUUUCACACAGGUGGUAUUUCACACAUGUAGUAUUUUAUGUAUUUUAUUUAGUCUUUAAUAUGGCAUACCUAGCAGAUGUUAUAUAAUUGUGUUUGAGAAUUUUAUUUUAAAAUGAUUUUAUCUUUUUAUUGAAAAUUUUUUAUUUUAUUUUUAGUGAAUUAUACAGUAAAUUAUUGACAAUUUAACAAAAAAUAUUUCAAAUAAUUGUUCAAAAAAUAAUAAAAUAAAUUAUUAUUUAAAUAAUAAAAAUGAAAUCGAUUAUUGCGUCAAAUGAUAUGGGUUCUCACGGCUAAACUAAUCAAAGUUAAAAAACGUGUCACUCCCAAACGAAUACCUUCGCAUGGAGGUCGCCCGGUGGGGCAACGCGCAAAUUGGAUUAGUGACUGAGAUUCUCGUUGCUCCUUUCCAAAUUAAAAUUUUCAAACGGAUGCUAAAUUGUUGAAUAAGACACCAAAUUCUAUUUCCACCUGUCGUUGUAAUGAUAUUAUAUCUUUGCUGCAUGUGUCACACUCUCACAUCCGUACAAGAAAUAUAAUAAAUAAAUAAUAUGAGAUAACGGAUGGUAAUAAUAUAGCAUGCCACCUCAGGUAUGUACCUCAGAAAUAUAAUUUAAAAAUAAAAAUAUAUAAAAACCCCUUUAAUUUAGGUUAAUUUAAAAUGUAUAAGGAAUAUUUCAAAUUUGAUAAAAGGUUUAAAAUGUAUAAGAAAUAUUAACGUUUAUGUGCAUAUAAAAUUUUUAAAAUUAACAUGAAGUUUCCCUUAGUAAUUAAUUUUAAACACUUAAAAAUUAACAUGAAAUUUUACUUAAGUAGUAAUUAAAAUUUUAAACACUUUAUUUGAGAAUAAAAUCAUAAAUUAAAAUUAAUGAAUUGCACUUGAUAGUCUCAACUUACCCGAGCGGUUCGGCAUUCAUUUGAAAUUGUUAAUAUACUAUGGACUUCCUUGUUAUCUCCUAGUUAUGGAAGUGACUAAUGUAGCAUUUAUUUUUUUGUUUGAAAUUUAAAUAAACUUGAAUUAGUCACUAUUUUAAAUAGUGUUGAAUCUAAAUCAUAUUUUUUUUGUUUGAAUUACCAAAAAUAAGUAAUAAUUUAUUCUUUCUUUUAACUUAAAAAUAUGAAAAUCAGUAUUUCUACAUUUGUGCUCAUAGAAAUUAAAAAUAUUAAAUAAAUAAUAAAUAUUUCAAAGAAAAUAAAUAAAAUAAUAUGUUAUCAUAACAUAUGGUUAUUGCGAUCUUAAUAAAAGAUUUACUUUUUCUAUCCGUCGGUGUAGGCCAAUGACCGAACCAUAUUAAUUCUCCGUGUUUUUCUUAUUAUAUAACCUUAGCUAAACUAGUUCUCUAGUUGACCGCAUUUCUACAUCUAACAAUUCUUGUGAUGUAUAGGCAGCUGAAACAAUUUUUUGCGUUUUAAAACCUUUCUGACUGUAUAUCAUCAUUUUUUUUUUACGCACACCAGGAUUUGUGACGGCUAUACGGCCAAUCUCCGAUGCAAUAAAUAAAUAAAUAAUAAACGAUGUCUAUUUCCACCGCAUAUGACUAUUACGCCAACGUUAUGGAAGUUCCUCACAAAUUUACGAAAAUGACCCUUUAUCUAAUAUUUUGAUAUUUUGUAAUUCUAUCCUCAUCAACAUUUUUAUAUUAAUUAAAAUUUUUAACGAACAUCAGUUGUAAGGUCCACAUCACAAUGACACAUCAUUAGAUACGUGACUACACGCACUAUGACACAUCAAGAUCACAAUGUUUUUAAUUAAGUUCAGUCUUAUUACAAAUGCACAACUGUCUGUCUACUAGUCCUUUUAUGUUUGGGAGCUAGAGUAAGUGUAGGAUUAGAUUAAUUUUCUAGACAAAAUAUUUAUUCCAUGUUUGACGGGCUCGCUUAAAUUUGAUUAAGAGGAUUAAAUUCAAAUUUACUUUUACAAUCAUAGGAUUAGUUAUCAUAAUUUUCACAUGGGUUUAAGGAGAAUUAGAGAAAGCAAUGUUUGUCCCUUUAUGACAAUCUGUUUGUUUAUUAAUGAGUUGUUAUCUAUUUAAUUAAUUAUUUAUUUUUAUUCAUGAUUUCUUAAAAAUUAAGUAUUUAUUUUUUAUUCUACCCAUGUCAUCUUUUAUCAUUUAUUUAUUUAAUGUUAAAAGUAAUGCAUUAACAAAAUUACUUUUUAGAAACAUGCCAUUUAUCAUUUGAUUAUUAUACAAAUAUUUUUAAAAUAUUUGAUAAAUAAUUAAUUUUAUAUUUAACUAUUUUAGUUAUAUUUUUUUAAUAGGCAAUAAUAUGCAUCAUAUAUAAAAGCAUAUAAUUUUCAUAAUUUUAGUUGUUCUUGUUAAAAACCAUUUAAUUUCACUUAAAUUUAAUUUAACAUAGUGUAAUUAAAUAUUAUACUAAAUAUAAGAUUGUACUACAUAUAAAAAAUACAAUGUAAUCCAAUUCAAUUUAAUCUAAUUGAAUUUUAAGUCUAUUUAAUCAUGCUUACUAAACGUAGCCUAACCUAUAACUAAAUCAUACAGUAUAUGAUUGAUUGAUAAUGAAAGAGUAAUCGCUGGCAGACUUAUGUUGUGGCUUGAGUCCAUUUCUUUGGAAAUAUUACAUCCAAUUUGGCCCUGCCAAUCGACCAGAUAGUUCAAAUUGACAAAAUGUCAAAAUCAAUACCAAUAAUUAAUUUGAGAUCUGGAAAGAAUGUUGAUAUCCCAGUUGAUGUGACCAACAAUUGGAUGGAAUGCAAUUCAGCACAAAAACCACUUCAAAAUGGAAGCAUGUUACAACAAACUACCCAUCAAGACACUGAUUACAUGGGCCAAGCUACAGCAACUGCAGAAGAAAUUCAACCAGAACAUGCUGAAAAAGAAGUUGCAACACCAAUAACCACUUCCUAUACCAAACUAAACAAACAAAGUUUGGUAUCCCCUGAAUCUAACCAGCAGUUUAGACAUCCACCACAUUUCCCACAAAGGUUCCAGAAGCAAAAACAAGACAAGCAGUUCAACAAAUUCCUGGAAGUGCUGAAACAAUUACACAUCAAUAUACCUUUCGUGGAAGCUUUGGAGCAAAUGCCAAAUUAUGUGAAAUUUCUAAAAGACAUCUUGGCAAGAAAGAGAAGACUGGGAGAAUUUGAAACUGUUGCUUUAACACAAGAAAGCAGUCAUAUGCUCCAAAGUAAGAUUCCUGCAAAAGUGAAAGAUCCAGGGAGUUUUACAAUACCCUACUCUAUAGGAACUAGGUAUGCUGGCAGAGCACUUUGUGACCUGGGAGCUAGCAUUAAUUUGAUGCCAUUGUCUGUAUUUAAGCAGUUGGGAGUUGGGGAAUGCAGACCAACAACAGUCACUUUGCAAUUAGCUGAUAGAUCUCAUGCAUACCCUGAAGGAAAAAUAGAUGAUGUACUGGUGAAGGUUGACAAAUUCAUCUUCCCAGUGGAUUUCAUUGUACUGGAUUUUGAAGCUGAUAAAGAGGUACCCAUUAUACUGGGAACCUUUUCUAGCAACUGAAAAGACUCUGAUAGAUGUGCAGAAAGGAGAGCUCACCAUGAGAGUAAAUGAUCAGCACGUCACAUUUAAUGUACUAGAAGCUAUGAGGAACCCUGAUGAAGUAGAAGAUUGCAAUUUCCUGAGUGUAGUGGAUUUUGUUAUAGCAAACAGAAUGAACAGAUGCUGCAGUAAUUCAUUUGACAAAGUCACUACCUUUGAUGAUGUAGAAGAGGAAGAUGUUGCAGCAAUUCAGACAGAUUGGAUGGAAGAAAAGCAAUCUGAUAGGCACAAUAGGUUUAUUGAACAUUUGAAUCUUUUAAACAGGGAAGUAAAAACAAUUUUACCAUCUAUUGAAUCACCUCUUAGUCUUGAAUUAAAACUGUUACGUUCACAUUUGAAGUAUGCUUAUCUUGGUCAAAAUAACACAGUCCCUAUAAUCAUCUCUUCUACUUUGGAUGCAGGUCAAGAACAGAGUCUAGUAGAUUUACUUGGAAAAUACAGAAGAGCAAUUGGAUGGACCAUGGCAAACAUAAAAGGGAUAAGCCCAUCAAUAUGCAUGCAUAAAAUCUUGUUAGAAGAUUGCUCCAACAAUUCGGUGGAGCACCAGAGAAGGUUGAACCCCAUCAUGAAAGAAGUAGUGAAGAAGGAAAUCAUCAAAUGGUUGGAUGCUAGAAUCAUAUACCCAAUAUCAGACAGUUCAUGGGUGAGCCCAGUUCAAUGUGUUCCAAAUAAGGGAGGGAUAACAAUAAUAACUAAUGAGAAAAAUGAACUUAUCCUUACAAGGACAGUGACUGGAUGGAGAGUAUGUAUGGAUUACAGGAAGCUCAACAAAGCCACAAGAAAAUACCACUUCCCACUGCCAUUCAUAGACCAGAUGUUGGACAGACUUGCUGGAAAUAAUAUUAUUGUUUCUUAGAUGGGUAUUCAGGCUACAACCAGAUUGCUAUAGCUCCUCAGGAUCAGGAGAAAACUACAUUUACUUGUUCUUAUGGAACAUUUGCCUUCAGAAGAAUGCCCUUUGGGUUAUGCAAUGCUCCAGCAACUUUUCAGAGAUGCAUGAUGUCUAUAUUUUCUGAUAUGGUAGAGUAGACUUUAGAAGUUUUCAUGGAUGACUUCUCAGUCUUUGGAGAAACAUACAAUGAUGGUUUACACAACCUGAAAGAAGUUCUUGAAAGAUGUGAGAUGACCAACUUAGUACUCAAUUGGGAAAAAUGUCAUUUUAUGGUGCAAGAAGGAAUAGUGUUGGGUCACAAGGUAUUCAAGAAUGACAUUGAGGUAGACAAAGCCAAGAUAGAGGUAAUAGAUAAAUUGCCACCUCCAACUUCAGUAAAGGGUAUCAGGAGUUUUUUGGGACAUGCUGGAUUUUACAGAAUAUUCAUUAAGGAUUUUUCCAAGGUGGCUAAACCAUUAUGCUCAUUGCUGGAACAUAAUAAGCCCUUUUACUUUGACAAAGAGUGUCAUCAAGCAUUUGGAGAAUUAAAGAAAGCUCUUAUCACUGCUCCAGUAAUCAUAUCUCCAGACUGGACUUUACCAUUUGAAUUGAUGUGUGAUGCUAGUGACCAUUCUGUGGGAGCAGUAUUAGGGCAAAGAAGGGACAAGGUUUUUCACUCCAUAUACUAUGCAAGCAAAACUCUUACUCAAACUCAAAUCAAUUACACCACUACAGAUAAAGAAUUGCUAGCUGUAGUAUUUGCUUUUGAUAAAUUCAGAGCCUACUUGGUGAGCACUAGAGUGACUGUAUAUACAGACCAUGCAACCAUCAAAUACUUAAUUUCAAAGAAAGAUGUCAAGCCAAGAUUAAUCAGAUGGAUCUUAUUGCUACAAGAAUUUGAUUUGGAAAUUAAAAAUAGAAAGGGGAUUGAGAAUUAAAUAGCAGACCACAUGUCAAUGUUGGAAGCAUACACAAGCACAUUGACAAGGAAAUACAUUACUGAAACUUUUCCUGAUGAACAACUGUUGGUGGUACAGCAAGCACAGAUGUUGCAGCAGUCAGAAUCUCCAUGGUAUGCAGACUUUGCUAACUAUUUAGUAAAUUGGUUGCUACCACCUAAGCUGAAGUUUCAAGAGAAAAAGAAAUUUCUUCAUGAUGUUAGAAGUUACCAAUGGGAUGACCCACAUUUAUAUAAGCUGUGCACAGAUCAAGUAAUACGAAGAUGUGCUGCAGAAGGAGAGAUUCCCCACAUACUGGAGUCAGGUCAUGCUGCAGCAUAUGGAGGACAUUUUGGUGGUCACAGAACAGCUGUUAAAGUACUGCAAUCAGGUUAUUACUGGCCAACUAUUUUUAAAGAUGCUUAUGAAUUUGUUAAAUGUUGUGACAGGUGUCAAAGGACAGGGAACAUAACUAGAAGACAUGAAAUGCCGUUGACCAACAUCCUGGAAGUGGAAAUUUUUGAUGUCUGGGGAAUAGAUUUCCUAGGACCUUUUCCCCCAUCCUUUGGGAACUUAUAUAUCCUUAUUGCUGUGGAUUAUGUCUCCAAGUGGGUAGAAGCUGCAGCUUUUUCUUCAGAAAAAUAUUUUUUCCAGAUUUGGCACUCCUAGAGCAAUUAUUAGUGACGAGGGUACACAUUUUUGCAACAAAAUCUUUGCUGCAGCAAUGGUAAAAUAUGGAGUCAGACACAAGGUAGUUACAGCAUAUCACCCACAAUUCAAUGGUCAGGCUGAAGUUUCCAACAGAGAAAUUAAAAAGAUCUUAGAAAAAGUGGUGAACCCAACAAGGAAGGAUUGGUCUUUACACUUACAUGACUCUCUAUGAGCCUACAGAACAGCAUACAAAACUCCACUCGACAUGUCCCCUUACCGAAUUGUUUAUGGCAAGGCUUGUCAUUUGCCACUAGAGCUAGAGCAUAAAGCACACUGGGCACUAAAGAAAUUAAAUUGGGAUAUUCAUGCUGUAGCAGAGCAAAGGAAGCUUCAACUUUGUGAGCUUGAUGAAUUACGGCUAUUUUCAUAUGAAAAUGCAAGAAUCUAUAAAGAGAGGACAAAACAAUGGCACGACAAGCAUAUUUAGCACAAGAAAUUCAACCCUGGUCAAUUAGUGUUGCUCCACAAUACAAGACUAAGGUUAUUUCCGGGAAAGCUCAAGUCACGAUGGUCUGGCCCAUUUAAGCUGCUCAAAUUUUAUCCUCAUGGAGCUGUUGAUCUUCUAGAUGAACAGACAGGUCAAGAAUUCAAGGUUAAUGGACACAGGGUUAAGCACUACAUACAUCUAGCGGCAGAUUGUUCAAAUGAGGUGUUACUCCUUAAAGAACCCAGCUAUUGAACAAUGAAAGAAGGUCAGGCUGAAAGACCUUAAAUCAAGCGCUCCAUGUGAGGCAACCCAUUGGGGAGACAGCCACUUCAAACCAACUUUGACAUCCUUUGGUUUUGUAGACAGCUCUCCCUCUUUACCAUCUUAUUUAAUUUUGUUUUUCUAUGUUAGCCAUUUACUUUUAUCCUUUUACAUUAUUGCAUUCUUUAUUUUCGCUUUAAUUUGAUCUAUUUAUUUCUUUUAAUAAUUUUAGAAUUAAUUUUAGUUUGUGAGAAGUAUGUGUGACAAUUGAAUUCCAUAUUGACAAGUGAGAGUGGAUGGUGGUAGAAUGCAGAGGUGAGCCACGUGUCAGAAGCUUUAGUGUGGAGUAUGUAUCCGUUGUUAGAGUAAGCAAAUGGGUGCUGCAGCAACUAAUUUUACUGUUACAGUAAAUUAAAAGCUGGAGCUUUUCACUUACCGUGGAGAUAAAAUCGUGACAAAUGGACGCAUGGAUAUGGAUAGAAAUUGCGGAACCAAAUCUCCGAAAUUAAAGCUUUAAUUUCACUGGCCGAUGAUUUUGGGAUAUGCACAUUUAAUUCAAAAUAUUUUAUUCCCUCAAUUAUCUCUAGUUACCGUAUUUAUCUUUAAUUAAAGUCCACUAUAAAAAGGAGUCACUGUGCUUAGUGCUCUACGACAAUAUUACCCAUCUCCUUCGCAAAUACAACUCUCCUAAUUCUUACCCUCUUCUUCUCAUUUUACUCUCAGGAACAUUAACUUCAAUUUGCUACUGCUACAGCAAUGCCGAGGUAUAAGAAAACAGCCAGCUGCCUCAAAGAUCUGUCACGCUUCCAGAGUUACCACGCCGAAGAAAAAUAUGAAGAAUUCAUAGAGCCGCGUAAGAUUCUGGAAGAAAAAAGGUUACAAUUUCCAGACCAACUCACUGGAAUUGUGCAAACAAUUCAUAAUGCUGCAGCAAAGCGAGGAUGGUUAGAGUUUUGCAACCACCCUCGAGAUCAUGUACUACCCGUAGUCAAAGAAUUUUACGCAAUUUGGUAAGUCUUGAUCAGCACAACAUUUGGGUAAGAAAUACACUUGUUCCAUUAGACUCCCGCGUUAUAAAUGCUUUUUAUAAUUUACCUGCUAAAAUUAAUUGUGAGUAUGCCAAGUUGCGUGAUAAAUUAAGCCCGAAAAAGUGGACCACCAUUUUCACAAACGCUUACAAUCGAAGGGGCAUCAUGGGCUAACGAGGAAGGGCGUGUAGUUAAUAGGAUAGAUUUGAAGCCUAUUGCUAAGGUGUGGGUGAAAUUUCUGAAAUAUAGGCUUCUGCCCACCACUCACACUACUACAGUUUCGCAAGAGAGGUUGGUCUUGUUAUAUGUCAUUGUUCGAGGGCUUCCUAUAGAUGUGGGUAGCAUCAUUGCAAAAGAAAUCCGGGAUUGUACAGUCAAGACUCACCGAACGGCUACCUUGCUAUUUCCUUCACUCAUCACUAGCAUUUGUGUAGUUUCUGGUGUUCGUCUUGACGCUAGAGAUGACCAUGUCAAGAGUGAUGGUGCCUUUACGGCACGUACCAUUGAGAGAGUUGCUGGUGAAGUGCUGGAACAACCAUUGAACCAGCUGUUGUAACAGAGCAAGACGAGCUAUUGGCUUAGAACAGACCAUCCAGGCACUCAGCACCAGUAUCACUCAGUGUGCAGAAGCUCAGCAGAGAGAAAAUGAUCGGUUUUGGAGUUAUCUACAGCACCUGGACAACCAACUACACCAAUUUACUCUGUACAUGAAACGCAUUCACCGGAACUUCCCUGAUUCACUGCUCCAGCAGUACAAUUUUGACACCAACACCACAGAUGCUCCAGCAGAAGCCAGUGAAGAAGCCACUGCCACAGAUGAACCAGCAGAUGAAGCUGCAGCUGAACCACAAGCAAAGGUAGACUCAAAAGAUGCUGAUCCAUCUGACCCACCUGAGGAUGAAGGUGACAAGUCUAAGACUGAUAGCUCACCCACGGAGGCAGAGGACAAUUCAGAGAAAGAACGUGAGGAACCAACCAUCCCAACCCAGUCCAAAACCAGGAAACAACACAUCAUUCAAAAAGAGGAGGAGGAAGACCUUGAAGAGGAACUGUCUAUUCUAGUCUUUAUAGGCAAGGGAAAGGACAAGGGUAAAGCAAAAAUGGCCACACCUCCAGCCUCUGAAGAUGAAAUGGAGCAAGUUGAUGCCGAGCUGGCUGCUGCAGCAGCCAGAGUUACGCCUACAACUGAACAAGCCAAGCAACUACUGGCGAUCAUUGCUGCCAUCACAGCUGAGGGCCAGGCAGCUGAUGCAUCAACUCCAAUUCCUCCACAGCAGACUCCUACCCAGCCUGUUCGCACCAGUCCAUGACAAUCCAGCAAAAGAAAAGGCAGUACGUCCAAAGGCACUACUACAACAACCCCAGCCACAACUCCUCUAACCAGCCCCGUGACGAAAAAGACAAAGACAUUGCCAGUUACUUCCCCACAAGCUUCCCCAAAGGAUAAGCUGCGCAGUGCAGCCAAGAAGUGCUGAUUGCAGUCCCCACCACAGGGGAGUUUUCUUUCUUUACUAGUUCAUUUCGUAAAAAAAAAUAUAUAUAUAUCUACCUUCUGUUUGUCAAUUUGUGUGGUAUUUUCUAAGGUCUUCCAUAUCCUUGUCAGUUUGUGUACCUUUGUUAUGUAUGCUUGUGAGGACACAUCAACUCUCAAGUUUGGGGGGGUUGUGUUUCUGAAUGCAUAUGUUUAUGUUUGUAUGCAUGUGUUUAUGUUUGUAUGGUGUGAAGUCUGUUAUCUAAUAUUUGUGUAUGGAUUUGAAAAUGUAAUGAAGAUAAAUUGAGUGCUAUUCAGUAUUUAUAUGCCCAGUAGAGAUAGUUAUAGAUGAAAGUGAAAUUAUAUCCUGACACUUAGACUUUUGUUGAAUUGUAUGAGACUACUAGAGCAAAGCCAAAAGAAUAGAAAAGAUCCUAAAUUUUGGGGGAAGAAGCAAGUUUGAUUAACUGUAAUAUCUAUGAAACAUAAUAUGUUCCAAUGGCUCAAGUUGCUGAGUAACCAGAUUUGAGUAUGUACCCCAUAUGCAGAAUUGUGUUCAAAGGUAGCGAGAGUUAUGAGCAAUGCUGAAGCAUGUUGUUAUAAAAAAAAAACAAAAAAAACAAAAAGAAAAAGAAAUCCUCUGUCUAAGGCAUUGAGUAGCCAGGUCUGUUCAUGAGCCCCAUGUUCAGCCUUGAGUAAAAGAUACCUCUAGAUAAGAUUACAUUACAGAAUCUUGCUACAACAACUCUAAUUUGGGCAUGGUUUGAGUAAUUGGGUGUCAUCAUUACAAUUGAUUGACAUUCACAUGAAAGAUAAAUGUUACAGUGAGGAGGUUGAAUAUUCCCUAGUUUAUCAAUCUUAAAAUCAUCACAGUCUGAGUAUGUAAAAGUUAUGUUACCCCAUUUAUGAAUGAAGUGUUCUUACUACUGAAAUUCAUGCAAUCCCUUGGUGAUGUUACAGCAUCUCUGGAAUUCAAUCGAAGGAACACACACACACUAUGGACAGAAAGAAGCUUAAGUCUAGAGCUAAUUUACUAUGGUCAUUUUGCAUGAUUGGGAUUGUGAUCUGAAGGUGGAAGAAUCCUUGCAAAUUUGAUAAAAGAGCUAAAGUUGUGUGCAUGAUUGUUUGCGGGAAGUGUUAGUAUAUGUCAUUACUUGAGGGCAAGUAAUGGUUUAAGUUUGGGGGUGUGAUAACUCUAGGAAAUGAGAGUUAUUACAUCAAUUCUAGACUUGAAUCAAGACUACUUGAGAACAAAUAAGGUGUUUUUAUUAUAUUUUGGUUACCUUUUGCAUAAACAUUCAUUUUAGUUGAGUCUUAAUAAGUUUUGCUUGAAUCAAAGUAAUUUGUGCUCAAAACAAGUGCAUAAUUGUAGGUUUUAAAGUCAUGAGGGGAUGUUGAGGCAUUAGAAGAGCGAGAGGAGGAAAGAAGAUGGCCACAAAAGCAGUAAAGCACAAUCGGAAAUAAGGCAGUGUUGUAGCUGAUGUUAGAGCAACCAGUGCUGUAGCAAUCUGGGAGCAAUGCGAGAGAAAACUUAGGCACGAGUCAGCCAUAAAAACGCGAUCUGCAUGUUUCCUAAUUUAAAUGCAUGCACGCUCAUGGGCUUUGGUUUACCCUAAUUUGCAAUAUAAAAAGGAGGCGUGCACCAUAUAGAAGGCGGGAAAUGGAUCAUCAUCAGAAUAAUUACAAAGGAAAGAAGAAGAAGAUCAGAUCGAGAGAGUGUUGUUUCAGCAACAUUGAAGACUCAUGCAGAAUUAUUUGUCUUUCAUCGUGCUCAACUUAUAUUUCUCUUCUUCCUUUAAUUGUUUUGAUGUAUUCAUUGAUCAAUAUAUUUAUGUUUACUUUUCUCAUUCAGAGUAUGAACUAAAUUUACUUGUAGUUGAGUGACAAAGAAUCCAAUGGGUUCUUGACUGUUCUUAUAUGUUGUUAUGGCAUUGUUGUAGCAUUAUACUAUAGUAGUUUUUAUGAAUAUAACUGUUAUUUCGGUUGACCACCCAUUUAAUAGUUUCAGUUAAGAUAGAGCAGCAAAAGAGCAUGUCUUAGCGGAUGUUAUUAGAGUAUUACUUGAUCUUAAGUCGAGUUUCCUGGAUUAAGUUAUCUUAAAUCCCAUAAGGGCAAUACUUGAAGUUAAGAUUUGUGACACACUAGACAUAGAUGUUCACCUUGUAGGGUGGAAAGACUAAAGACCAUAAUGUCAUACUAUAAGUAGAUUAGCAAUUGGUCAUUGUUAAUAGAUUUAAGGGUAUGAGACUUCCAAUAUGCGGCAACUGAGGAUGCAGAUAAACUCUGUCUAGUGCUGCAGCACUGGUCGUAACAACUGGUACUAAUUUGAUGAAAAAAUAGUCAACCCCAAAGGAAAAUUUGAUCAUUCAACUACAUUAAUUUCAAUUGAAUCUUGGACACACUUAACCUAGUUAUUUCAUUACGAUAUUGUUUUAUUUAAUUCUUAUCUCAAUCAUUGAUUACAAUAGACAUUACUUGACAAUUGUUUGCUUCGGGUUUAAGUUGAGUUGCGCUAUUGUGAGUGCUGUAGCAUUUCGAGUAACAUUAAUCCAUGUGGAGACGAUCUUGAAUACUUAUCACUUUAUUACUUGUUGUGUAUACUUGCACAUUGGCAUUGAUAGUAAUUGCUUAUAAAAUUUACCAACACAUAUCUAAACCACUUUGUAACCUCUUAUUAAAAGAUGCACCAUUUGAAUGAACUGAUGAUUGCCAAAAAUCUUUUGAGAAAAUAAUUUGACUUUUAACAUCAGCACCCAUUAUGCAAUCUUCUGAUUGGUCUCUUCCUUUUGAAUUAAUGUGUGAUGCAAGUAAUUUUGUUGUUGGUGUUGUUUUUGGACAAAGAAUGGAUGGUAAGUCGUUUGUGAUUUAUUAUGUGAGUAAGACCUUGGAUGGUACCCGAAUGAAUUAUUUGACAACUAAAAAAGAAUUACUUGCAGUGGUGUUUGUAUUAAACAAAUUUCGUUCAUAUUUGCUUGGUUCUAAAACUAUUGUUUUUACUAACCAUGCUGCUAUGAGAUAUUUGAUGACUAAACAGGAUGUCACAACCAAGACUAAUUCGAUGGAUUUUGUUACUACAAGAAUUUGACCUUACCAUCAAAGAUAAAAAAGGUGCCGAAAAUGUCGUUGCUAAUCAUUUAUCAAAACUCACAUUCGAAUUCUGCACUGACGUAACACCCAUCAAUGACUCCUUCCUAGAAGAAUUUUUAUUUUCUGUUACUUUAAUGCUAUGAUAUGCUAACAUUAUUAAUUUCUUUGUUACAGGUAAAAUGCCUUUGCAAUAGAAUACUCAAGAGAAGAAGAAAUUUUUAGUUGAAGUAAAGAAAUUUUAUUAGGAUGAUAUUUCACACAGGUGGUAUUUCACACAUGUGGUAUUUUAUGUAUUUUAUUUAGUCUUUAAUAUGGCAUACCUAGCAAAUGUUAUAUAAUUGUGUUUGAGAAUUUUAUUUUUAAAUGAUUUUAUCUUUUUAUUGAAAAUUUUUUAUUUUAUUUUUAGUGAAUUAUACAGUAAAUUAUUGACAAUUUAACAAAAAAUAUUUCAAAUAAUUGUUCAAAAAAUAAUAAAAUAAAUUAUUAUUUAAAUAAUAAAAAUGAAAUCGAUUAUUGCGUCAAAUGAUAUGGGUUCUCACGGCUAAACUAAUCAAAGUUAAAAAACGUGUCACUCCCAAACGAAUACCUUCGCAUGGAGGUCGCCCGGUGGGGCAACGCGCAAAUUGGAUUAGUGACUGAGAUUCUCGUUGCUCCUUUCCAAAUUAAAAUUUUCAAACGGAUGCUAAAUUGUUGAAUAAGACACCAAAUUCUAUUUCCACCUGUCGUUGUAAUGAUAUUAUAUCUUUGCUGCAUGUGUCACACUCUCACAUCCGUACAAGAAAUAUAAUAAAUAAAUAAUAUGAGAUAACGGAUGGUAAUAAUAUAGCAUGCCACCUCAGGUAUGUACCUCAGAAAUAUAAUUUAAAAAUAAAAAUAUAUAGAAACCCCUUUAAUUUAGGUUAAUUUAAAAUGUAUAAGGAAUAUUUCAAAUUUGAUAAAAGGUUUAAAAUGUAUAAGAAAUAUUAACGUUUAUGUGCAUAUAAAAUUUUUAAAAUUAACAUGAAGUUUCCCUUAGUUAGUAAUUAAUUUUAAACACUUAAAAAUUAACAUGAAAUUUCACUUAAGUAGUAAUUAAAAUUUUAAACGCUUUAUUUGAGAAUAAAAUCAUAAAUUAAAAUUAAUGAAUUGCACUUGAUAGUCUCAACUUACCCGAGCGGUUCGGCAUUCAUUUGAAAUUGUUAAUAUACUAUGGACUUCCUUGUUAUCUCCUAGUUAUGGAAGUGACUAAUGUAGCAUUUAUUUUUUUGUUUGAAAUUUAAAUAAACUUGAAUUAGUCACUAUUUUAAAUAGUGUUGAAUCUAAAUCAUAUUUUUUUUGUUUGAAUUACCAAAAAUAAGUAAUAAUUUAUUCUUUCUUUUAACUUAAAAAUAUGAAAAUCAGUAUUUCUACAUUUGUGCUCAUAGAAAUUAAAAAUGUUAAAUAAAGAAUAAAUAUUUCAAAGAAAAUAAAUAAAAUAAUAUGUUAUCAUAACAUAUGGUUAUUGCGAUCUUAAUAAAAGAUUUACUUUUUCUAUCCGUCGGUGUAGGCCAAUGACCGAACCAUAUUAAUUCUCCGUGUUUUUCUUAUUAUAUAACCUUAGCUAAACUAGUUCUCUAGUUGACCGCAUUUCUACAUCUAACAAUUCUUGUGAUGUAUAGGCAGCUGAAACAAUUUUUUGCGUUUUAAAACCUUUCUGACUGUAUAUCAUCAUUUUUUUUUUACGCACACCAGGAUUUGUGACGGCUAUACGGCCAAUCUCCGAUGCAAUAAAUAAAUAAAUAAUAAACGACGUCUAUUUCCACCGCAUAUGACUAUUACGCCAACAUUAUGGAAGUUCCUCACAAAUUUACGAAAAUGACCCUUUAUCUAAUAUUUUGAUAUUUUGUAAUUCUAUCCUCAUCAACAUUUUUAUAUUAAUUAAAAUUUUUAACGAACAUCAGUUGUAAGGUCCACAUCACAAUGACACAUCGUUAGAUACGUGACUACACGCACUAUGACACAUCAAGAUCACAAUGUUUUUAAUUAAGUUCAGUCUUAUUACAAAUGCACAACUGUCUGUCUACUAAUCUUUUUAUGUUUGGGAGUUAGAGUAAGUGUAGGAUUAGAUUAAUUUUCUAGACAAAAUAUUUAUUCCAUGUUUGACGGGCUCGCUUAAAUUUGAUUAAGAGGAUUAAAUUCAAAUUUAUUUUUACAAUUAUAGGAUUAGUUAUCAUAAUUUUCACAUGGGUUUAAGGAGAAUUAGAGUAAGCAAUGCUUGUCCCUUUAUGACAAUCUGUUUGUUUAUUAAUGAGUUGUUAUCUAUUUAAUUAAUUAUUUAUUUUUAUUCAUGAUUUCUUAAAAAUUAAGUAUUUAUUUUUUAUUCUACCCAUGUCAUCUUUUAUCAUUUAUUUAUUUAAUGUUAAAAGUAAUGCAUUAACAAAAUUACUUUUUAGAAACAUGCCAUUUAUCAUUUGAUUAUUAUACAAAUAUUUUUAAAAUAUUUGAUAAAUAAUUAAUUUUAUAUUUAACUAUUUUAGUUAUAUUUUUUUAAUAGGCAAUAAUAUGCAUCAUAUAUAAAAGCAUAUAAUUUUCAUAAUUUUAGUUGUUCUUGUUAAAAACCAUUUAAUUUCACUUAAAUUUAAUUUAACAUAGUGUAAUUAAAUAUUAUACUAAAUAUAAGAUUGUACUACAUAGAAAAAAACAAUGUAAUCCAAUUCAAUUUAAUCUAAUUGAAUUUUAAGUCUAUUUAAUCAUGCUUACUAAACGUAGCCUAACCUAUAACUAAAUCAUACAGUAUAUGAUUGAUUGAUAAUGAAAGAGUAAUCGCUGGCAGACUUAUGUUGUGGCUUGAGUCCAUUUCUUUGGAAAUAUUACAUCCAAUUUGGCCCUGCCAAUCGACCAGAUAGUUCAAAUUGACAAAAUGUCAAAAUCAAUUCAAUUGCGUGCACGCAGGUGUUGGCUUUCACUUUGAAUUUUUUCAAUUUCUAAUUUUUGGCAAAAGGCUAAACUAAUAAAAAUCAUAAAGCUGGUCAAUCCCACAACCAAACACGAGGUCCAUUCGAGUUUGAUUUACCACUCCUCUACGGAGUUAUUACACGACACUCUUAUUAAGCGUCACUUUGUGGGAUUAGAGGAAAAGGUUAAAGUUUGCUUACAUAAUCAUAAAGACCCCCUUAAUUUUUUAAAUUGUUACAAUCCUUAAUUUUAUAAAUAGUUAGACAAGUCUUUUUUUAACCAUUAUACCCUUGAUUACAACUAUUCAAUAUUCACUUUAAAUAAACUUUUAUUACAACAAUUCAAUAUUCAUUUUAAAUAAACUUUUACAAUAAAUAUAAAUUAAAAUGAAAAAAAAAUGUAAUGUAUAAAUUAAGAUAAAAUGUGUAAAUUAUUUGGAAUAUUAGAAAAGUUAUUUUAACAUCAUUAAUCUGUCAUAUUCUUUUAAUAAUAAAAAAAUCUAUUUGACAUAUUAAUAAUGAUAAAAUAACUAUACCUAAUAUUCAUAGUAAUUUAUAAAUUUUAUAUUAUUCUAUUUACUAUGUCUUUUUUUAAUUAUGUCUAUCAGUAUAAUAAAUUAAAGUCAAUUUUUGGAUUAAUACAUUUUAGUAUUAAUAAAUUCCAUCAGGAUAGACUAAUAACAACUUAAUAUUUAAGAUAAUUCAUUAUAUAGGCAAUUUUAUUAAAUAAACUUAUUGUAAUUUUUUAUUUAUAUCAUAUUAUAUAUUUUUAUUAUUUUUAUCUUAUUAUUGUAUUUAUAUUAAUUCAGAUUGUUAUAAUUAAAGGGUAUAAUAAUCAUUUAUGAAAUUAAGGUGUCUAUCUGACCAUUUAUGAAACGAAAGAGGGUUUAUGUGACCACUUAACAAAACCUUACGGUUGUGGGUGGCCUUUUCCCAUUCGAUUAUGCAGGAAACUAAGAUUCUGGUUACUUCUUUCCAAAUUAUGAAUUUCAAAUUCAAAUGCAUGUUGAAUUGCUGAAUAAGAUAUAAGUAUGGCAAAAUUUCCCGAUAGUAAUACUCUAUAUAGAAUUAAUUUUUAGUUAAUAAUAAAAAAUUUUGAUUUCAGUUUAGACCAGUUAUACAUAAGAAUAAACUUCAUAUUGUAAUAAAUUAUAGCUUUUUAAUCCAAUUUUAAGAGUUUUUAGAUCCCAUUUUAAGAAACUUGCCUCCACAUAGUAAUAAUUAUUAGUGUAGCGUAAAAAUAUAUGUUAUGUUAUAUUAAAGGAACUUACUUCCAGAUAGUACAAUUACACAAUGAGAGAUAAUUAAUGAAGAGAAUGCAAAAAAUUAGAGAUUUUUAAGAUGACUUUAAUAUUCCUAAUAAUAGUGCAUUGAUACAUUGUACUUAUUUUUUGAUAUAUUAAGAUUUGAUAUGCUCCAUUAAUAAAUUAUUAAUGUAUUACAUACUUUACCUCUAUAUUCUUACACUAAGGAUAAAUAAGUUAAAACAAUAAUUUUCGUAACUACUCAUCUAUUAAGUAAUAAUUUCUUCAUUGCAAUUAACUAAUUUGGUCCUAAUAUUAUAAGUAUAGAGAGAUAUUGCUAUAUUGAGAUUGAUUGAUAGAGCACACCAGCCUUGAAUUUCGUUAAUGUCCCUAUAUGGUACCAUUUCACACACAUCAAUAAUUUUACAUUGUAAAAAUACGGAGCCAUUAAUCAUGUAAAGAUUGUCAAUUCCCCCCCCCCCCCCCCUCCCGCCCGCCAGACCAUUAUUGGCCAUCUAUUUUGUUAUUUUAUUAUUGUUUUUAUAAUAACCUCUAAGCCAAUUUUUUAAAGGAAAUUGGUGGGCUCAAAAUUCAAAUAGCCCCACCAUUAUUAAAUUAACUUAAAAUCGUUUCCGUAGAAAGUAGGGUAUUAUUGAAAUUGAUUAUGCGAAAGAUAUUUUACGUGGCCCGCGAUCAAAUAGAUGUAAAUAAAGUUAACGUUAUUGCAAGAGUGAAUUGGCAUUGUUCAUAAAAAUUACAAUUCAUUAUAAGAGGAUUGCCAAUUGCUCUCCUACAGUAAUCAACAUAUACCAUUUUCUCCUCUAUUAUUUUUAUAAUGGCCAAAACCCCCCUGAUAGAAUAAAUUUACGAUAUUACCCUUAUUUUCAACUACUUUUUAUUUAUAUUUAUUAUAAAUUAAAUAAAUGACAUGAAUAGAAACUAAAUAAAAAAUUAAGCAUUAAAGAUAAGAAAUAUAUGUUUUGAUAUGAGAAAAAAAUUAAUAAUAAAUUUUUUUUCUUGUACUUAUUUAUUUUGUGAAAUUUUUCUUAUAAUAAAUAUAUAAGAAAGUUAUUAUAAAAUGAUAAAAAAUUUAUUAUAAGAAAAUUUGAAUGACAAAUAAAAAUUUAUUAUAAGAUAAAUAAUAAAAUAUUUUGCCUAUACUUUUUACAUUUAAUUUUAAAAUAUUACAAAAUAUUUAUUAUAAGAAAAUAUUCACAAAAUAAAUAAUUACAAGAAAAAAAAAUUUACUAUUAAUUUUUGUGCUCAUAUCAAAACAUAUAUUUCUUAUUUUUAAUACUUAAUUUUUUUAUUUAGUUUCUAUUCAUGUAAUUUAUUUAAUUUAUAAUAAAUGUAAAUAAAAGAAUAAUUAAAAAUAAGGGUAAUAUUGUAAACUUAUGCUAUCAUGGGGGUUUUUUACCAUUAUAAAAACAGCAAGGGGUAAAUAAUAUAUGUUAAUUACUAUAGGGGGGAAAGUGGCAAUCCCCGUCAUUAUAAAUAGUAAUGCCAUUGAUAACAUUCUUUCACAUUUUCUUUAUUACUGCAUAUAGCAAUGAAACCGAACAUGAGCGGUGUCCUUGUUUUUGCCUUAUUUCUCUUUGAAAUACUUGCCAUAGCAACCAUUAGCAUUAGCUUCUGCAACGGAAGUUCUUAUCACGGGGGUUGCCUUGAAAGUGAGAGAGGAGCACUUUUAAGGCUCAAGCGAGAUCUUAAAGACCCUUCUAACAGGCUUGCUUCUUGGACUGGCAGCGGAGAUUGUUGUGCAUGGACUGGUGUUGUCUGUGACAACAUGACUGGCCAUGUGCUUCACCUCGACCUUCGAAAUCCUUUCAAUUAUUCCAAGGAGUCUGAAUAUGACGCUAUUCGGGGGACAGCGCUUGUUGGUAAGAUAAAUCCUUCUUUGCUUGAUUUAAAGCAUUUGAGUUACCUGGACUUGAGCUUCAAUGAUUUCCAAGGUGAUCGAAUUCCUAGAUUUGUUGGCUCCAUGGGAAAUCUACGGUAUCUCAAUUUUUCUGGAACUCGAAUCGGCGGAAUGAUACCUCAACAACUUGGAAAUCUCUCCAAUCUGCAGUUUCUUGACCUUAGUUCAAAUUAUUUAUUAUACGUUGACAAUUUUUUGUGGCUUUCUGGUCUUUCUGUCCUGGAACACCUCGAUUUGCGUUCUGUGAAUCUUAGCAAAGCCUUUGAUUGGCUGAUGGUAGCAAACAAACUCCCUUCUUUGGUAGAAUUAAGAUUGUCAAAUUGCCAACUCCAACACUUCUCUCCAUUAGCCACCGCAAAUUUUUCGUCUCUCACAGUGCUUGACCUUUCCCACAACCAAUUUGAUAACUCGUUCAUUCCUAGUUGGGUCUUUGGUCUAAGUCAUUUGCUCUUUCUUGACCUAGGUUUUAAUAAUUUUCAAGGUCCAAUUCUUGGGGGACUUCAAAACCUGACUUCCCUUAAACAUCUGGGUUUAGAUUCCAACUACUUCAACUCUUCAAUUCCCAACUGGUUGUAUAGAUUCAUCCAUCUUGAGUACCUUAGUCUUCGCAACAAUAAAUUGCAAGGUACAAUUGACUCAGAGGCUCUUGGAAACUUGACUUCCAUCAGUCGGCUCGAUCUCUCAUUAAAUACUGGUCUUGCAGGGAGAAUUCCAAGAUCCAUGGCAAGACUUUGUAAUUUAAAGUCAAUCAAUCUUCGGGGUGUCCAUGUGAGCCAAGAAAUUUCUGAGAUUUUAGAUAUUUUCUCGGGAUGUGUUUCUAAUGGACUAGAGAGUUUAGAUAUGCGGAGUAGUUCAAUAUAUGGUCAUUUGACUGAUCAGCUUGGCCAAUUUAGAAAUCUCGUCACUCUUAAUCUUGCUAAUAAUUCAAUUGUUGGUCCUAUUCCAGAGUCAUUUGGUCAACUCUCAACCUUGAGAGAACUACAGAUAUAUGAUAAUAAGUUAAACGGAACAAUUUCUGAACUUCACUUUGCCAAUCUGACAGCACUGUCAUGGUUCAGAGUCGGUGGAAACCAAUUGACGUUGGAAGUGAAGCAUGAUUGGAUCCCUCCUUUCCAACUUGUUGCAUUAGGAUUGCAUAGUUGUUAUAUAGGGUCUCGAUUUCCUCUAUGGCUUAAUUCACAAAGGCAUUUACAGUUUCUAGAUUUAGUCAACUCAAGAAUUUCAGAUAUUUUUCCCAUUAGAUUUUUGAAAUCUGCUUCCCAAUUAAAGAUUUUAGAUCUCGAACAAAACCAAAUUCACGGGGAGAUGCCAAAUCUAACCGAGUUUACUCAACUUUUGUUUCUUUCCAUGGAUUCGAAUAAUAUGUCUGGUCCAUUACCCCUCAUAUCAUCCAAUCUCGUUUACCUUGGCCUUUCAUAUAACUCAUUCUCCGGGUCAAUUUCUCAUUUCUUGUGUGACAAAAUCAACGAGACAAAGAGAUUAGAAGCUCUUAAGCUGAAUGAUAAUUAUUUACAAGGAGAAUUACCUGAUUGUUGGAUGAGUUAUCAAAAUUUGAAGAUACUUAAACUAAGUAACAACAAAUUCACUGGUAAUCUUCCAAACUCAUUUGGUAGUUUAGCUUCUCUUGUUUGGUUGGAUCUUGGUAAAAACAGACUGUCUGGGACAAUACCUGUUUCUCUUAAAAAUUGUACAGCAUUAGAGUCACUUGAUGUUGGUGAAAACGAGUUUGUUGGCAAUAUUCCAGCAUGGUUUGGAGAAAGAUUUUCAAGAUUGGUUGUUCUCAACCUUCGUUCCAAUAAGUUUCAUGGCCCUUUACCCACUAGAUUUUGUGAUCUAGCUAUUCUUCAAAUCUUAGACAUCGCGGACAACAAUCUCUCCGGAGCCAUACCAAAUUGCAUUAAUAAUCUCACUGGCAUGGUGACAGCGAACUCUUUUUCACGCAGUGCUCAGCAACAUCUACCUGUUCCUCUGGACGUGGAUGUGAUUCUUACGGAGAAGGCAUCAGUUGUGAGCAGAGGGGAAGUGGUUGAAUAUGAUGAGAUUCUUAAUUUGGUAACGGUGACGGCUGUUUCCAGGAAUGAUUUACCGAAAAAUGUUCCUUUGGAAGUGAGAAAUCUUAAAGCAACGCAGUCAUUAAAUUUUUCGCACAACACUUUCACAGGAAGAAUUCCUGAAAGUAUUGGUGUUAUGAGAUCAUUGGAGUCUGUUGAUUUUUCUGUGAACCAACUUUCGGGUGAAAUUCCACAGAGCAUGUCAAAUUUGAUGUCCUUGAAUUAUUUGAACUUGUCCAACAACAAGUUGACUGGGAAAAUUCCUUCAAGCACUCAACUCCAGGGCUUCGAUGCAUCUAGUUUCGCUGGCAAUGAUCUCUGUGGAGCUCCUCUUCCAAAGAAUUGUACUGAGAAUGUUUCAAAUUCAGAAGAUGAAAAUGGAGAUGAAGACGAAGAUGAAUUGGACCAUUGGUUUUAUGUAAGCAUUGCACUUGGCUUUGUGGUGGGAAUUUGGUGUUUUAUAGGCCCUUUGAUUUUCAAUAGAAGAUGGAGGUACAAAUAUUGUCAUUUCCUAAAUCGCCUUGAGAGGAGAGUUGUUUGUGUUGUAAGAAAACGUGGCUAGAUUUUCUCUGUUUUUGAGUUGUUCUGCUUCUUCAUGUACUGUGCUCACUGAAAGGAAUAGAAUAUUACUUAAAUUAAACGAAUGGCCUUUGAUUUGUUUGUGCCUGUAAGGGAAAAUUAAUGUGAAAUUAUUUUGAAAUAAAGCGAUGAUAUUCAUAUUCAAAAUCAUAGGAGACCUUCCCAACUCAACAAAAUUAGUACUGAUAAAUCAAAAUUGAAAAAAUAUAUUUUAUGGACAGUUCACCAUGUAUAGGCUCAAUGAUUUUUAUACUAAAAAAUAUCAUAAAUCACAACAUUGGUAUCAAAAUGUUAAGAUCUUGAAAAAAUAAAUGGAAAAGCUUCUUAGAUUAACAAGCAGCACUGCAACAGGGGAGUGGGCUCAACUAUUCUCUAUUAUGCAAUCUUGACCCAUACUUCUCUCUUUUUUCACAUUUUAUCUAUGGAAUAUUUUCAAUGCAACAUUGAGAUUCACAACUAUCCAUGUAAAGACUAAUUGAAGAAAAAAAAUCCACUCUCCUCCUUAAAAGCAAAUAAAUAAAUAAAGCUUAGUCUUGGUUUAUUUCAUUAAAUAGAGUUAGUCAAUAACAUGUCAUGAGAUAUAUGGAUAGUUGUCCAUUUACUAUAUAACAAUCGAUUGGGUUAAAGUCGUCAAAUCUGAAUAUUGUUAUCUAUUGACUUAAAAGUCGUUUGCGUGGAAAUGAGGUGAAUCCUAAUCCAACUAACAGUACGAUAAUGUUGAAUUGGAUUAUGCGGAAGAAUUAUAAGGUCACACGUUAAGUUCAUUAAUUUGAAAGAGAGAAAUGGCCUUAUAAAUAGCAAGGUUGUUGGUAACACAAAUUCAAAUAGACAUUGACUCUGAUUAAACCAAAGAUGAGUGUUGUUCUCGUUUUUGCCUUGUUUCUCUUUGUAUUACUUGUCAUUAGCAUUAUCUUCUGCAAUGGAAGCUCUGAUCAUAUGGGUUGCCUUGAAAGUGAGAGAGAACCACUCUUAAGAUUCAAGCAAGAUCUCCAAGACCCUUCCAAUCGGCUUGCUUCUUGGAAUAUUGGUGGAGACUGUUGUACAUGGGCCGGCAUUGUCUGUGAUAACGUGACAGGCCAUAUCAUUGAGCUUAAUCUUCGAAAUCCUUUCACUUAUUACCAUCGGUCUCGGUAUCAAGCUAAUCCAAGGUCAAUGUUGGUUGGUAAGGUAAAUCCUUCUUUGCUUGAUUUAAAUCAUUUGAGUUAUUUGGGCUUGAGCUUUAAUGAUUUCCAAGGGGUUCAAAUUCCUAGAUUUAUUGGUUCUAUACGGAAUCUAAGGUAUCUCAAUCUCUCUGAUACUCAAUUUGUAGGAAUGUUACCUCCCCCGCUUGGAAAUCUCUCCAAUCUAAAGAGUCUUGACCUUAGUUUGAAUUAUUUAUACGUUGAGAAUUUUUUGUGGCUCUCUGGCCUUUCAUUUCUGGAACAACUCGAUUUGUGUUAUGUGAAUCUCAGCAAAGCCUCUGACUGGCUGUUUGUAGCAAACACACUCCCUUCGUUGGUAGAAUUGAGAUUG
Molecule: long non-coding RNA, 40640 nt
Filed under: Citrus maxima (pomelo)
Lineage: Eukaryota; Viridiplantae; Streptophyta; Magnoliopsida; Sapindales; Rutaceae
Description: long non-coding RNA (CMAX_LNC000843)
Source: RNAcentral